UGUGCUUUGAAGAGCCUUUGACGGGGUCUC
RNAcentral lists this non-coding RNA (30 nucleotides) under Homo sapiens (human). The record is from RNAcentral. Lineage: Eukaryota; Metazoa; Chordata; Mammalia; Primates; Hominidae.